AAGUCGUAACAUGGUUUCUGUAGGUGAACCUGCGGAAGGAUCAUUAACACGUAUCCAAACGUUAAGACCCCCCCCCCGUGAACCUUCAUCCUGCUCUUGUAACCCGCGUAGUUCGCAAUCUCUGAUAAAUCAUAGCCCGGAAAGUUGUAGUGAUUCAGAGACCUCUGGCUACGUGCGAACAUUGGUUCCCCAAGCAGUCAGUGUCGGAAAGUGUCAUUGAUUGUGCAAGGAUAGCGCUUCUACGAUUCCUGUAGACCGUACACUCGGGCAGGAGCUUUGCCAAAGGGUCCCCAUGCCCCGUAAUAACCCCACAGUUUAAUGUGAAGCUCAAUGUAAUACAUUGGGUAAAAAAACCGAACAACUGUUAACAAUGGAUAUCUUGGUUCUC
Molecule: unclassified non-coding RNA, 388 nt
Filed under: fungal sp.
Lineage: Eukaryota; Fungi
Description: partial internal transcribed spacer region
Rfam family: Eukaryotic small subunit ribosomal RNA (bases 1-46)
Source: RNAcentral